RNAcentral lists this ribosomal RNA (253 nucleotides) under uncultured bacterium. RNAcentral describes it as "partial 16S ribosomal RNA". It matches the Rfam family "Bacterial small subunit ribosomal RNA", at positions 524 to 776 of the family's 1533-position model. The record is from RNAcentral.
GACGAACCGUGCGAACGUUGUUCGGAUUCACUGGGCUUAAAGGGCGCGUAGGCGGACGGUCAAGUCGGGGGUGAAAUCUUUCAGCUUAACUGGAAAAGUGCCUCCGAUACUGAUCGUCUCGAGGGAGGUAGGGGCAUGUGGAACUUCCGGUGGAGCGGUGAAAUGCGUAGAUAUCGGGAGGAACACCAGUGGCGAAGGCGAUCACCUGGGGUUGUUCUGACGCUGAGGAGCGAAAGCUAGGGGAGCAAACGGG